This 3061-nucleotide long non-coding RNA is filed under the name Nicotiana benthamiana. RNAcentral's name for it is "long non-coding RNA (NBEN_LNC034171)". The record is from RNAcentral. Lineage: Eukaryota; Viridiplantae; Streptophyta; Magnoliopsida; Solanales; Solanaceae.
ACGAUAUUAAAGGGACUCAUUCAUCUGCUUACUCCGGGACUUCAACAGCAAGAAGUAGAUACAAGAAUGACUUCCGGGACUCUGGAGGACCUAAGAACCAAACAGUACAGGAGUUGGAAAAAUAUGUUGUACACAAGGCUGAAGAGACAACAAAGACCGUUAACAGCUGCUUGAGGAUUGUAGAAGACAUGAGACAGGACGCAACAAAAACUUUGAUCACCUUACAUCAGCAAGGGGAACAAAUUACAAGAACCCACACAACUGCAGCUGACAUUGACCAUGACCUUAGCAGAGUAUGGGUUAGUCUACUGCAUUUUGUAGUUUGCAAAAGAACAUGUUUUGGAUUAACAUUACCCCUUAUAUCAUCAGGGAUUGCCAAUGCCCAUCUGUUUUUCUUGUUUCUGCAACUUUUCAUUCUUUAGUAUUUCAUUAAAUAACUCAAAUAUUGUUUGAAAUUUAUGCUGACGGGGUAGGUUACUUCCUUGUUCAUUUUGAGAUGAAACUUUAUAGUUUUUAGGAGGGAAUACAGAUUUUGUUUAGAUUUUUAUCUUGCAACUAAAAUAGACAUAGAAACUAUGAAUGAGAGGGGGAGAAGAACAUUUGAAUGAGUCGAAUUAAAAGGACAAAAGAAACACGUAUAGAACAGCGAAACAGAUUGCUACACAUAUAAGAAGAAAUGUAGAAAGAGUUGCCAAAGUACUGCUUUGCCACUGAAUAUUUUCUAAUAUUUUGUGCAGGUGGAUGUUGUAUGAUGCAGGCAAAAACUGGACGAAAGGAUGACCCUCAAGGACAUUCAGCUUAUAUGGAUGUCAGACCUUCCAAAUUCAGGAAGGAGAAAGGAUAAAUGGGGCACAAAGGAGCUUGUGAUUGAGAUAGGGUACAUCAGAAGCGAGAAGUCUGAAACUCCCCAAAAGAAAUAAGAAACUUAAAGACUAUCAGUAGACAAUUUCUGUACUUUCAUAAUAAUAGCCUCAGAGAUAUUAGUACCUUUCUUUUUUCGUUGCAACAACUACCAGCCUCGAACUAUUGAUCUAGUGGCAUGGAGAGGACUCUCUCAACCACUAUGAACAAGAAUGGCUAGUAUUUAGUACCUUUCUCUGUGUUGUUAUUGGCAAAUAAUCUAUGCUUAGGACUUGUGUUCUCUAGUUUUCUCUAUCAAAAAUUAUGCUAUGGACUGCUAUUUACCUCUAUCAUCUAGGUUGCACUGGGCUGCUUGAUCUUUGCAUAUUCCACCACUAUGUAAUGUACAAUGAAAAAGUUUUUCAGAAUGCGUUUUACAACAACAACAACUACCCAGUAUACUCCCACCAGGUGGGGUCUGGGGAAGGUAAUAUGUAGACAGCCUUACCCCUACCCAAAAGGGCAGAGAGGCUGCUUCCAAGAGAAUGCGUUUUACAAUAAGCAGGUUUUUCAGAAAGUCUGGAUUGACUUUCACUAAUUUAUACUCCUCUACGUACAGAUGGAUGUAAAGCUAUUUGGAACUUUUUUGCCCAUCAGCUUUUAUUAUAGAGUUGGUAGCCCCUUCACUUCUGUCCUUCUUCAGCCCAUCCAUUAGUGUUUGACAUACAAUUUGUGACUUGAAGAGUCAAUUCGAGCUCAAACCAAAUAUUGUUAUUCAUAUAUCGUUGUUUUUCUAGUAGUUCAAACCCUAGUUCAAUCAUAUUCAAAUGAAGAGCUCCCUAUGCACCCAAUAAAGAAUGAUUGUACUUUCCUUUUUGCUUCGUCAUAGAAAACCUUGACCACCUUCCUUGAUAUACAAAUAUUUCUCCCUCCAAAAAUGCAAACAACUAUAAAACUAAAUUACUCCUUAUCCAUAAAAGAUAGUUUUGGACUCUCCCAGAAUGUCCACAUUACUACUUAAAAUCAUUUUCCCCUGACUUUUUAUUAGCUUUGAUACUAUACUAAUUCAGAAGCUACAAUUAUGGAAUAUCGAUUUGACAAAAAAAGUAACUUAGCCAACUCUGCUUCUAAACUUCAUUGAUCAAUCAAAGAUUUUCACACAGAAAAUAGUGACAAUGAUGCAUAGGCUUCUUGAGAAGCCGCGAACAGUGAAAAUGGUACAUAACACUUAGGACUAAUGAGAAAAGGCAAGUUGAAGCAGAAUAUAUAGAUUUAAGAGAAGGCAAAAUAAUUCAACCAAUUUUAUCGUGAGUAAAUUAUUGUACAACAAAGAACAAAGUUCUAUAUAUACUUGUUUCUCUCAUUCUUCUAUUCUAUUUAUUCUAAGUUAUUCAAUACUACUUUUUCUUUUUCCAGAUUUCACUUCGAAUAGAUACUUUUAUUGUUCAAAUAUAAGUAAAAGAUUAUUCUGAUCCUUUCAAACCUUCACGCGGACAAACUAACCAGUUAUAUAUAUAUCAUACUGGGACAAAACGUUUGAACAUGGUUGAAUUCAUAUCUCGACUAUCGGCAUUCAACUAAAACAUCAAUAUGCAUCAACUGACACUUGGAAAAUUUCUGAAAAAUAACAGUGCCUUAGAAAACAGAGGAACCAAUUCAAAAACAAGAGAGUAACAUAGGACGAAUCAAUUCAAUCAAUCGACUAUCAAUCUAACAACAACCGAGUAUUACAAACAUAUUAGUAAAUACAGAAAAAAGCUAUACUUUCACAAAUCCCAAAAGGCCAUAGUUGCAUAUCAAAAAUCACAAAUCCAAAUUGGAACCUGGUAAGCAAAAAUUUUUGUCGAUUAAGAGCAGAAAUUGAAAGAGACGAAGGUUUUCUGCAAUAAUUCUUGAAACCUACAUGAAAUAGAAGUUGAAGACGAAUGAGAGAAGAUUGACAGAGAAGACUGAUAAUAAUCGAGCAGCAUAAACUCAAACUUAUAUAUAACCCAAUGCCGAGAAUGACCUGGGUUGCCGGAAACCGUCGCAGGGCGGAGGCUUUUGCAGCGAUGCUGUUAACGCAGGUUUUCCGUCGUUCCUGUAGCGUUCUAAUUGCAGGCGAUUUGUAUCAUUCUGUAUCGUCCUAAUUACGCGCAGGUUUGGUUUUUCCUUUUUGUUUUAACUGUAGGGUUUUCUAAUGGGAGGGAAUGUAAUUUAUUGUCCCAAAAAAUUGAAAGAA